CAACUCUGGAGCUUCCUAGUGGGAGUAGUACUAGUUUUAAUCAGGUUUGGCAAAAUGGUGCAGUUUCUGGUCAGAGUUUGCAAAUUCAUAGUCGGAUUGGUGAUAACGUGAGGAGUUUGGGAACUAUUGAUUUUGCCAGUGGACAGACCUCUGCCGCUGCUGGUGGUGAUUCAGCCAGUUCUAGACAACGUCGAAGAAAUGUGAGUUCUAAAUUCUUUCUUAAUUUAAAUGUAAAAAUUGGAUUUUAAUUAUGUGACUUCCUGUAGUUGUAAUGUUUAUUAGGAGCUUUUUUGGUCUUGUAAAUUUUUUUAUAUGCUAAUAGAAAAUGGAGACAACUUUUAGUAUUAGAGUAACUAAUUUCAAUACUUUUAUAAUAUUGGAUUGAGACGGAUUUAAAUUGAACAACAUAGAGGGAUGGUGAGUAUUAUAUAACCAAUUCCAACUUGCUGGAUCUGAAGCAUUGUUGUUGUUGAGUAUGCAGAAUUUAAUGAUUCUCAAAACUUAGUUUGUUUCAAAAUAUUUUAACAUGUGCAUAUAGUUCGAGCCACAAACUAUAGUUCACCCUAUUUAUUUUUAUGAAGAUUAAGAUUUUUAAAUCUGAAUAUAGAAUAUUAAAAUGUUGUCACUACAUCUGAAUACUAAAUAAUUAAGACCGAUUAUUUUCUUAAUAUCUAAAUGGAUAUUGUUUAUCUGUAUUUAAACGUAAUAAGCAUGAACAUGUCACAACUUGAGCUCUUAUAGGUGGAGAAAAUAUGUCCUCUUCUGAUGAAUAUCUUGAAAAUUUUGACAGACACAUGGAGUGCUGAAUGCAAUUAGUUGGGGAGUUAUGAUGCCAAUGGGUGCUGUAUUUGCAAGGUAUUUGAAAGUGUUCAAGUCAGCAAAUCCAGCUUGGUUUUACCUACAUGUUGCUUGCCAAACCUCUGCUUAUGCUGUUGGGGUUGCUGGAUGGGGCACUGGUCUCAAGCUUGGCAGUGAUUCUGUUGGAAUUAAAUUCAAUACUCACAGAAACAUUGGCAUUACUCUCUUCUGCCUUGGAACUCUUCAGGUAUGUCAAUUUUGCACUAUUUUUUGUCUCCAUUUAUUUGUCACUUUUUGUUUAACAAGAUUAAUUGGACCAGCUUUCCGAAUGAAUUAAACAUAGACCAUUCUGUGUUUGAGAUUAAAAUUCAGAUAUUCAUAAAUUACACAAGAAGAGGAGCCUUGGCGUAACUGGUAAAGUUGCUGCCAUAUCAGGAGGUCACGGGCUUGAACCGUGGAAAUAACCCCUUGUAGUCCGGCCAUUCCCCGGAACCCUCGCAUAGUGCACCGGCUGCCCUUUUACACAAGAAGUAAUGGUUACAAGUUCCAAUUUUUUCCAUGUCAAAACUAUGAAAGAACAACUUUAAAAAUCUUACUUGUUUAACUCUCAGAAACUGAAAAGUGGCAACCAUGUUGGGACAGGGAAAAUAAUUACUAAAAUUAUAGUACUCCAGUUAAGGCCCCGAAGCUUUGGUCUAGUGGUAAGAGGGCAGCACGUAAUGUAUAAAUUAAGAGUACGUCACAAGUUAACGUGCCAUUAACGCUUAAUAAUUUCUCCGCUAUUAAUAAAAAAAGCAAAAACUUACAGAUGGCUUCAAUGUAACACAACACGUACCGGAGAAUAACGCUUAAAUAAGCUGUUUUUACUUGAUUAACAUACAAAUUCCAAGUUUUAAUUGCUGUUUUGUAUGAUAGGUUUUUGCCUUGCUAUUGAGGCCAAAGCCAGACCACAAGUACAGACUCUACUGGAACAUCUACCACCAUACUAUUGGAUACACUGUAAUCAUUCUUAGCAUCAUCAAUGUGUUUGAGGGAUUUGAUGCCUUAAAUGGACAGAAAUACUGGAAGAGGGCUUACAUUGGGGUUAUCAUUGCCUU
This 1895-nucleotide long non-coding RNA is filed under the name Nicotiana tabacum (common tobacco). Its description in RNAcentral is "long non-coding RNA (NTAB_LNC014514)". Lineage: Eukaryota; Viridiplantae; Streptophyta; Magnoliopsida; Solanales; Solanaceae. The record is from RNAcentral.